CUGCCCUCAAAUCCCUGCUAUCUCCUGUGGCGGCGCCAUCUACAAUCCGCCCCAAAUUAAUACCAUAAAAUCCUCACAUCCUCACCUUUCCAAUAUCAAAACCAUUUCUCUCGAAUCUUUCCACAUCUUUUCGAAUUUUUAAUCUAAGUUCGAAACCCUAAAAUCCCAAAUUGCCUCACUUUUGAAUAUGUGCAUGUAAGGCUUAAUCCCCGAGCUUCCUAAAGUUUCUCAAGUUCGAUUUAACACAAAGCAAUGGUAUUCAACAAGCGAUUAGCAUUAUUUUUGGUUAAAUCAAGAUAUCCAAUGUUAUUUUGAGGUUAAUCGGAAAGUUUUCUUCAUUUUUCUAUCUGUGUUGUGUUGUUUCAUCCUCCUGCUCCUUUUCUUUUCUUCAUUUUUCUAUCUGAUAAAAUUACUGAAUUUGGUUUGGGUCAGUUUAAUUAUUUUGGCCUUAAGGCCAUCCUCGACUCCACUUCAAGAGAAUUGUUAAGUUCUAGGGUCAGAACUGACACAUGUGAUAGGCUGGGGUAAACGGGGGGUUUAAGGAUUAGUUUAGGGAAUUUAGUUUGAGGAAUCUUUUAUAACUGACUAGGAAACUUCUACGAAGGUGGGUUUGGGCUGUUUUAGAAAGCUGAUUUUUAAAUAAGGGAUUGAAUAGCAAAAACGAAAAUUGAAAAAGGAUUAAAGAGCAAAAAACUUAACUCAUUUCUGCUUCCCUAAAGCUCCCUAUAAAGGGCAUUGUUUCUUCACUCUCAAGGAAGAAUUUUUAGAGACUAAAAAAUACUAAAAUUUCAGAAGUAACUGAGUUUCUUUAAGUUCUAGAAAAACUGAAUAUUGCUCAAAUUCUUCUUGGUUUUGGUUCUCUGAUUGUCUUGGUUAGCUAGAACUUCUGAAAAGAUUCAAAUUUGUGCACCUGGGUAGAAAAUAUAGUUUGAUUUUGGGGUUUAAAAGUUUGAUUUGAGCUGUUGUUUGGGUGAUGUUCUAUUGCUGGUUUUAGGCUGAUUCUGCUGCUGCUGUAGCUAACUUUCCAUUCCUUUUGGUUCCCUUUUAAUUUCAAGGUAUUUUUCAAUACAUGAACAACAAGUGAUUGUAAAUAUGCAUUUCGAUUGGAAACCUGACUAAAUACAAGUUUUGUUUUAAGUUUUACUUCUUCUGUUUCUUCCAUUUCUGUAGCAUUCUGUAGUAAAUCUUACACUAUACAUGUUAUCUCAGCUUUCUCAUGUCAUUAAUAUGCUGUUAAUAUGAAUCAGUGUUAUUUUAGAGUUUAGGUGUUAAUGUUGGAUUCUGUUACUAUUAGUAUUGAUAAAGGAUUUAGCUGAGGCUAAAUUUCACAUGCUCAUUCGUUGAAUUAGCUUAGAAUGGAGUUUAAGCAUGAACAUAUGGUUGGUUUUAUUAUCAGUGUAAUUGAGGUCAAAAAAAGUGUUGCUUUUUUA
This 1430-nucleotide long non-coding RNA is filed under the name Nicotiana benthamiana. RNAcentral's name for it is "long non-coding RNA (NBEN_LNC028772)". Lineage: Eukaryota; Viridiplantae; Streptophyta; Magnoliopsida; Solanales; Solanaceae. The record is from RNAcentral.